This 253-nucleotide ribosomal RNA is filed under the name uncultured bacterium. Its description in RNAcentral is "partial 16S ribosomal RNA". It matches the Rfam family "Bacterial small subunit ribosomal RNA", at positions 524 to 776 of the family's 1533-position model. The record is from RNAcentral.
UACGGGGGGGGCAAGCGUUGUUCGGAAUUACUGGGCGUAAAGGGCUCGUAGGCGGCCAACUAAGUCAUACGUGAAAUCCCUCGGCUUAACCGGGGAACUGCGUCUGAUACUGGAUGGCUUGAGUUCGGGAGAGGGAUGCGGAAUUCCAGGUGUAGCGGUGAAAUGCGUAGAUAUCUGGAGGAACACCGGUGGCGAAGGCGGCAUCCUGGACCAUUACUGACGCUGAGGCGCGAAAGCUAGGGGAGCAAACGGG